This 248-nucleotide ribosomal RNA is filed under the name uncultured Staphylococcus sp. Its description in RNAcentral is "partial 16S ribosomal RNA". It matches the Rfam family "Bacterial small subunit ribosomal RNA", at positions 92 to 334 of the family's 1533-position model. The record is from RNAcentral. Lineage: Bacteria; Bacillati; Bacillota; Bacilli; Caryophanales; Staphylococcaceae.
UUAGCGGCGGACGGGUGAGUAACACGUAGGUAACCUACCUAUAAGACUGGGAUAACUUCGGGAAACCGGAGCUAAUACCGGAUAAUAUUUCGAACCGCAUGGUUCGAUAGUGAAAGAUGGCUUUGCUAUCACUUAUAGAUGGACCUGCGCCGUAUUAGCUAGUUGGUAAGGUAACGGCUUACCAAGGCAACGAUACGUAGCCGACCUGAGAGGGUGAUCGGCCACACUGGAACUGAGACACGGUCCAG